Molecule: non-coding RNA, 969 nt
Organism: Oncorhynchus mykiss (rainbow trout)
Lineage: Eukaryota; Metazoa; Chordata; Actinopteri; Salmoniformes; Salmonidae
Source: RefSeq, a predicted model, not a curated record
GUUUCUCUCUCUGUUUCUCUCUCGCUCUCUCUCUCUCUCUCUGUUUCUCUCUCUCUUAAAGUGAAUUACAGAAACCCUUAACAAGGUUUCAGCCCUGUCCCUCUCCGUAUCAUAACAGAUGGGGUCGACCAUUCAUUCAUAGAUUACAAAGCUGAAUUGAGCCAGAAGCUGCUGUUUUUUUUCCUUCUUCCCAGUUGUCUGGUUUCUAUCAAUAGUGAAGGAGGCAGUUGAGGGGAAUCUCUUAAGGGACUUCAGUACCAAGUAACCUCCUCCAUUUUGAUAUUCUCUUCCAGUUUGCUUAAUUGAUUUGAUUCUAAGAAGAGGGGCUGUGUUUAUACCCAGGUCUUCUAUUGAUUUGAUUCUAAGAAGAGGGGCUGUGUGUUUAUACCCAGGUCUUUAAUUGAUUUGAUUCUAAGGGGCUGUGUGUUUAUACCCAGGUCUUUUAUUGAUUUGAUUCUAAGGGGCUGUGUGUUUAUACCCAGGUCUUUAAUUGAUUUGAUUCUAAGAAGGGGCUGUGUGUUUAUACCCAGGUCUUUUAUUGAUUUGAUUCUAAGAAGGGGCUGUGUGUUUAUACCCAGGUCUUUAAUUGAUUUGAUUCUAAGAAGAGGGGCUGUGUGUUUAUACCCAGGUCUUUAAUUGAUUUGAUUCUAAGAAGGGGCUGUGUGUUUAUACCCAGGUCUUUAAUUGAUUUGAUUCUAAGAAGAGGGGCUGUGUGUUUAUACCCAGGUCUUCUAUUGAUUUGAUUCUAAGAAGAGGGGCUGUGUGUUUAUACCCAGGUCUUCUAUUGAUUUGAUUCUAAGAAGAGGGGCUGUGUGUUUAUACCCAGGUCUUCUAUUGAUUUGAUUCUAAGAAGAGGGGCUGUGUGUUUAUACCCAGGUCUUUAAUUGAUUUGAUUCUAAGAAGAGGGGCUGUGUGUUUAUACCCAGGUCUUCUAUUGAUUUGAUUCUAAGAAGAGGGGCUGUGUGUUUA